This 28-nucleotide non-coding RNA is filed under the name Cricetulus griseus (Chinese hamster). Lineage: Eukaryota; Metazoa; Chordata; Mammalia; Rodentia; Cricetidae. The record is from RNAcentral.
GAAGAUGAUGAUUGGACGAUGCAACCGA